Molecule: ribosomal RNA, 468 nt
Filed under: uncultured bacterium
Lineage: Bacteria
Description: partial 16S ribosomal RNA
Rfam family: Bacterial small subunit ribosomal RNA
Source: RNAcentral
GACGAACGCUGGCGGCGUGCUUAACACAUGCAAGUCGAACGGAAAGGCCCUGCUUUUGUGGGGUGCUCGAGUGGCGAACGGGUGAGUAAUACGUGAGUAACCUGCCCUCGACUUUGGGAUAACUUCAGGAAACUGGGGCUAAUACCGGAUAGGAGCUCCUGCUGCAUGGUGGGGGUUGGAAAGUUUCGGCGGUUGGGGAUGGACUCGCGGCUUAUCAGCUUGUUGGUGGGGUAGUGGCUUACCAAGGCUUUGACGGGUAGCCGGCCUGAGAGGGUGACCGGCCACAUUGGGACUGAGAUACGGCCCAGACUCCUACGGGAGGCAGCAGUGGGGAAUAUUGCACAAUGGGCGGAAGCCUGAUGCAGCAACGCCGCGUGCGGGAUGACGGCCUUCGGGUUGUAAACCGCUUUCGCCUGUGACGAAGCGUGAGUGACGGUAAUGGGUAAAGAAGCACCGGCUAACUACGUG